UUGUAAUUGGCUAAAACUUCCUGGAGAGCCGGUGGUAAAAAAAAAAAAAGAUAAGCGAGACAAUUUCAACAUAUGUCUGAGAAUUGCAGUAGUUUUGCUGCAGGUGUCAGUGUAUCUAAGACAGAAUAUUUGUGUUAAAGAUUUGGGUGGUAACUUGCAGCAAAGGAGCAGUUACAGUCGACCUAAGGACUUUGCUGCUAAGAAGGAUAUGGCAAUAUGCGUUGAUCGAACGUUGUGGAGAAGUUCCGUUGUGUUUCGCCGAUAUUGAAAGUUAUUACGAGCAAAACUAAGUGUCGACAGUGCAGCUUUAUUUUUCGUAAAAUUAAAGGGAAGUCAUGGAGAAGAUAAUUUUCCACCCAAGAUAAUCCAAGAAUGGAUCAAGAACUUUUACUGCUGAUGCCUAACUUCAAAAUCCCUCAAGGACACACUUCCCGGCUAGAUUAAAGUGAAGGGAAGUCUUUGAGAACAGUGCUUUCACGGAGAAGAUCAUUUUUCACCAAAGAUAAUCCAAGAAUGGAUCAAGAACUCUUACUGCCGAUGCCUAACUUCAAAAUCUCUCAAGGAGACACUUCACUGAAAAUAAACUUCUUGGCUAGGUAAGGUCUCUGGCAGGAGCAGAGGUAAAACAGGCGAUUUGUUAAAGAUUUGCAAAAGCGAAGACCCUCCCUGUAGUGAAGUAGUCGCUUCGUUCUAGUUUUGCCGAUUUGUGGAAGUUUACUGCAAUGUCCCCUCGGCUGGAAGGAUUCUUCCUGUUGCUGCCCGAUAAGGGUACAGUACAGUGCUGCUGGUGAAGGACACCCACGGGUGUACUCUGAGGUCCUAAGCUACAACUAAUUUCUUUAGAAACGGGCAAGUUUUCUGCUGCUGUUCUAGCUGAGGGACAUGUACGUACUUCAACAAAUUUUGUGCGCUUAAUAUGGUUAAUCUCAAGGCACGAAGCAAAUGUAGUUUAUUCAGCUGGAAUUUAAUUUGUAUUAUAUAGGAUAAUAAAUGUUUACGAAAAUAAAUUUCGCUAUGUAUCCG
Molecule: long non-coding RNA, 1023 nt
Organism: Macrobrachium nipponense
Lineage: Eukaryota; Metazoa; Arthropoda; Malacostraca; Decapoda; Palaemonidae
Exons: 5
Source: RefSeq, a predicted model, not a curated record